This 477-nucleotide ribosomal RNA is filed under the name uncultured bacterium. RNAcentral describes it as "bacterial SSU rRNA". It matches the Rfam family "Bacterial small subunit ribosomal RNA", at positions 30 to 497 of the family's 1533-position model. The record is from RNAcentral.
AUUGAACGCUGGCGGCAUGCUUUACACAUGCAAGUCGAACGGCAGCACGGGUGCUUGCACCUGGUGGCGAGUGGCGAACGGGUGAGUAAUGCAUCGGAACGUGCCCAUGAGUGGGGGAUAGCCCGGCGAAAGCCGGAUUAAUACCGCAUACGCCCUUAGGGGGAAAGCGGGGGAUCUUCGGACCUCGCGCUAUUGGAGCGGCCGAUGUCGGAUUAGCUAGUAGGUGGGGUAAAGGCUCACCUAGGCGACGAUCCGUAGCUGGUCUGAGAGGAUGAUCAGCCACACUGGGACUGAGACACGGCCCAGACUCCUACGGGAGGCAGCAGUGGGGAAUUUUGGACAAUGGGCGAAAGCCUGAUCCAGCAAUGCCGCGUGUGUGAAGAAGGCCUGAGGGUUGUAAAGCACUUUCAAUCGUGAAGAGAAGUUGCAGGCUAAUACCCUCGUGACCUUGACGUUAACGAUACAAGAAGCACCGGC